AUUGAACGCUGGCGGCAGGCCUAACACAUGCAAGUCGAGCGGAUGAAGGGAGCUUGCUCCUGGAUUCAGCGGCGGACGGGUGAGUAAUGCCUAGGAAUCUGCCUGGUAGUGGGGGAUAACGUCCGGAAACGGGCGCUAAUACCGCAUACGUCCUGAGGGAGAAAGUGGGGGAUCUUCGGACCUCACGCUAUCAUAUGAGCCUAGGUCGGAUUAGCUAGUUGGUGGGGUAAAGGCCUACCAAGCCGACGAUCCGUAACUGGUCUGAGCGGAUGAUCAGUCACACUGGAACUGAGACACGGUCCAGACUCCUACGGGAGGCAGCAGUGGGGAAUAUUGGACAAUGGGCGAAAGCCUGAUCCAGCCAUGCCGCGUGUGUGAAGAAGGUCUUCGGAUUGUAAAGCACUUUAAGUUGGGAGGAAGGGCAGUAAGUUAAUACCUUGCUGUUUUGACGUUACCAACAGAAUAAGCACCGGCUAACUUCGUG
Molecule: ribosomal RNA, 484 nt
Filed under: uncultured bacterium
Lineage: Bacteria
Description: partial 16S ribosomal RNA
Rfam family: Bacterial small subunit ribosomal RNA
Source: RNAcentral